Molecule: ribosomal RNA, 277 nt
Filed under: uncultured bacterium
Lineage: Bacteria
Description: partial 16S ribosomal RNA
Rfam family: Bacterial small subunit ribosomal RNA
Source: RNAcentral
GAUGAACGCUGGCGGCGUGCCUAAUACAUGCAAGUCGAACGAGACCUUCGGGUCUAGUGGCGCACGGGUGCGUAACGCGUGGGAAUCUGCCCUUAGGUACGGAAUAACUUAGGGAAACUUGUGCUAAUACCGUAUGAUGUCUUCGGACCAAAGAUUUAUCGCCUAGGGAUGAGCCCGCGUAGGAUUAGCUAGUUGGUGGGGUAAGGACCUACCAAGGCUACGAUCCUUAGCUGGUCUGAGAGGAUGAUCAGCCACACUGGGACUGAGACACGGCCCA